CAGGUAGGAAUGAGGCAUCGACAGGCAGGAAGAGCUUGCACUGGCUGCGACCACAUAACUGGUCAGUGAGAAGGAAAUUGUGGACUAAAGUCAGGAGAUCCAGAGAGACCAUGACUGCCUGUUCAAACCCCCCACACCCAAAUUACAGGCAAGUCUUGCUUUAAGAAAAUCCAAUUUACAAAAAUUUGAAGAUACAUCUACAGAAAGCCCAAGAAGGAUUUCAUCAACUGCUUUAUAAUUCCCAUACUGUCUGAAAAUAGAACUGUCUUCCCU
Molecule: long non-coding RNA, 273 nt
Organism: Tupaia belangeri chinensis (Chinese tree shrew)
Lineage: Eukaryota; Metazoa; Chordata; Mammalia; Scandentia; Tupaiidae
Exons: 3
Source: RefSeq, a predicted model, not a curated record